GCCCCGGUAGCUCAGUCUGGUUAGAGCAAGGUACUCUAAAUACCUGUGUCGCGGGUUCAAAUCCUGUCCGGGGCGCCA
Molecule: transfer RNA, 78 nt
Filed under: marine sediment metagenome
Description: tRNA-OTHER
Rfam family: tRNA
About the family: Transfer RNA (tRNA) molecules are approximately 80 nucleotides in length. Their secondary structure includes four short double-helical elements and three loops (D, anti-codon, and T loops).
Source: RNAcentral